This 857-nucleotide ribosomal RNA is filed under the name uncultured Gammaproteobacteria bacterium. RNAcentral's name for it is "bacterial SSU rRNA". It matches the Rfam family "Bacterial small subunit ribosomal RNA", at positions 527 to 1382 of the family's 1533-position model. Lineage: Bacteria; Pseudomonadati; Pseudomonadota; Gammaproteobacteria. The record is from RNAcentral.
GGAGGGUCCAAGCGUUAAUCGGAAUUACUGGGCGUAAAGCGCGCGUAGGCGGUUUAAUAAGUUGCAUGUGAAAGCCCUGGGCUCAACCUAGGAACUGCAUGCAAAACUAUUAAGCUUGAGGACGAGAGAGGAGAGUAGAAUUUCAGGUGUAGCGGUGAAAUGCGUAGAUAUCUGAAGGAAUACCAAUGGCGAAGGCAGCUCUCUGGCUCGUUUCUGACGCUAAGGUGCGAAAGCGUGGGUAGCAAACAGGAUUAGAUACCCUGGUAGUCCACGCCGUAAACGAUGAUAACUAGCCGUUGGGCAGAUUUAACUGUUCAGUGGCACAGCUAACGCAUUAAGUUAUCCGCCUGGGGAGUACGGCCGCAAGGCUAAAACUCAAAUGAAUUGACGGGGGCCCGCACAAGUGGUGGAGCAUGUGGUUUAAUUCGAUGCAACGCGAAGAACCUUACCAACCUUUGAAAUCCAGAGAAGUCACCAGAGAUGGAGAUGUGCCUUCGGGAACUCUGUGACAGGUGUUGCAUGGCUGUCGUCAGCUCGUGUCGUGAGAUGUAUGGUUAAGUCCAGUAACGAGCGCAACCCCUAUCCUUAUUUGCCAGCGCGUAAUGGCGGGAACUAUAGGGAGACUGCCGGUCAAAAACCGGAGGAAGGCGGGGACGAGGUCAAGUCAUCAUGGCCCUUAUAGGUUGGGCUACACACGUGCUACAAUGGGAUGUACAGAGGGUUGCGAAAGCGUGAGCUGGAGCCAAACCCUUAAAGCAUUUCGUAGUCCGGAUUGGAGUCUGCAACUCGACUCCAAGAAGUCGGAAUCACUAGUAAUCGCGAAUCAGAAUGUCGCGGUGAAUACGUUCUCGGGCCUU